RNAcentral lists this ribosomal RNA (253 nucleotides) under uncultured bacterium. RNAcentral describes it as "partial 16S ribosomal RNA". It matches the Rfam family "Bacterial small subunit ribosomal RNA", at positions 524 to 776 of the family's 1533-position model. The record is from RNAcentral.
UACAGAGGGUGCAAGCGUUGUUCGGAAUUAUUGGGCGUAAAGCGCGUGUAGGCGGCUUUGCAAGUCGGGUGUGAAAGCCCUCGGCUCAACCGAGGAAGUGCGCCCGAAACUGCAGAGCUUGAGUACCGGAGAGGAUGGCGGAAUUCCCCAAGUAGAGGUGAAAUUCGUAGAUAUGGGGAGGAACACCGGUGGCGAAGGCGGCUCCCUGGUCCGAUACUGACGCUCAUGUGCGAAAGCGUGGGGAGCAAACAGG